RNAcentral lists this transfer RNA (64 nucleotides) under Takobia yixiani. RNAcentral describes it as "tRNA-Gln". The record is from RNAcentral. Lineage: Eukaryota; Metazoa; Arthropoda; Insecta; Ephemeroptera; Baetidae.
UACCUUGAGGUGUGAGGCACAGGAAGUUUUGAUUUUCCAGGGUUCAGCAUGCUGAACAAGGUAA